Molecule: non-coding RNA, 45 nt
Filed under: Schistosoma mattheei
Lineage: Eukaryota; Metazoa; Platyhelminthes; Trematoda; Strigeidida; Schistosomatidae
Source: RNAcentral
ACCCAGCUGAUGAGUUCCAAAUAGGACGAAAUGCGCGUCCUGGAU